RNAcentral lists this transfer RNA (73 nucleotides) under Candidatus Beckwithbacteria bacterium. Its description in RNAcentral is "tRNA-Ala". It matches the Rfam family "tRNA". From Rfam's summary of the family: Transfer RNA (tRNA) molecules are approximately 80 nucleotides in length. Their secondary structure includes four short double-helical elements and three loops (D, anti-codon, and T loops). Lineage: Bacteria; Candidatus Beckwithiibacteriota. The record is from RNAcentral.
GGGCCGUUAGCUCAGUUGGUAGAGCGCUACACUUGCAAUGUAGAGGCCAGGAGUUCGACUCUCCUACGGUCCA